RNAcentral lists this ribosomal RNA (440 nucleotides) under uncultured bacterium. Its description in RNAcentral is "partial 16S ribosomal RNA". It matches the Rfam family "Bacterial small subunit ribosomal RNA", at positions 338 to 795 of the family's 1533-position model. The record is from RNAcentral.
CCUACGGGAGGCAGCAGUGGGGAAUAUUGCACAAUGGGGGAAACCCUGAUGCAGUGACGCCGCGUGAGCGAUGGAGUAUUUCGGUAUGUAAAGCUCUAUCAGCAGGGAAGAAAAUGACGGUACCUGACGAAGAAGCCCCGGCUAACUACGGGCCAGCAGCCGCGGCAAGACGGAGGUGGCAAGCGGUCUCCUGAUUUACUGGGUGUAACGGGAGCGUAGCCGGUCCUGCAAGCCAGAUGUGAAAGCCCGGGGCUCAACCCCCGGACUGCAUUUGGAACUGACAGGCGAGAGUGUCGGCUGGGCCGGCGGCAUUCCUAGUGUAGCGGUGAAAUGCGUCGAUAUUAGGAGGAACACCAGUGGCGAUGGCGGCCUGCUGGACGAUGACUGACGUUGAGCCUCGACAGCGUGGGGAGCAAACAGGAUUAGAUACCCGUGUAGUC